UUUAACAAACCAUUGAAGAGCUUUACAAAAUCUAUUAUAACCUCUUUCUUCUCUACUCUCUACUUUGUCCUUCAACAAAACAAUGACUCUCUCUCUCUCUUUUCGUGUGUUAUCAAAUGAUCUUGUUCCUUGCGUCUUCGAGCUUCUUCAGAAUCUCCGCAGGUGUUCUAUCCAGCUCGUCUGCUAUUUUCCUCUGCAAGUCCAUUGGGAGUGUCGGGAACUGCUCACACAGAUCUCCAUCUAUCACGUCCUGUUACAAGAUGCAAAAAGUGUCAAAUUCAAAAUCAAGGGACUUCUUUUGAUUUGGAGGAAAAGCAAAUGGGUUUUGGUUUAUUACCUUGACCGGAAAAUAUGCAGAUCUGUAAGCCAUGUGGUCUCUCCCGCAGAGAGGAGGAUACUCCUGCCUCAUGUGCAUCUCCAGAUGAGAGAAGAAAUCCACAUCAUCACGGGAUGUGAAAGCAUGUAAUGCCCCUAUGCUACCCAUCACUGUUCCAUACAUUAUCGAUUCCGAUCCACCUGGGAUCAUCGAAGCUUUCUGCAAGCACGUCACAACGUCCCCAACAUGGAACUGUACUAUCUCAUCCACUUUGUUCGGUGCUCCAUUCAGCUUUCCUUGCUCCCACUUGAUCUUCC
This 633-nucleotide small RNA is filed under the name Arabidopsis thaliana (thale cress). Its description in RNAcentral is "ATSL183040". The record is from RNAcentral. Lineage: Eukaryota; Viridiplantae; Streptophyta; Magnoliopsida; Brassicales; Brassicaceae.